This is a long non-coding RNA of Tympanuchus pallidicinctus (lesser prairie-chicken), 360 nucleotides long. RefSeq lists it as uncharacterized. The transcript has 3 exons. Lineage: Eukaryota; Metazoa; Chordata; Aves; Galliformes; Phasianidae. The record is from RefSeq and is a predicted model, not a curated record.
GACUUUGCCACCCUAACCAACAAAUCCAGAGUAGAAAACUGAAAAAUAAGGGGAAAGAUCAAAAAGUUGAAGACUCUUUUAUUGCUGUUUUCUGGCUGGUGUUUGAUUGUUUUCAAGUCAUUGUUAUGAGGAAGAAUAUGUUUGCAGAAAAAACUUUGGCACUUCAUCUGAGUUCUCACAUUUCCCUCUGUGAACUCCACACCUCUGAUGAAGAACCAAACAGGAAUGGGAGCAGCUGCUCUGUGUGGAGGAGGGCUGCAGAGCAGUCUGUGAGAUGGUUGGCAUCACCACUUGCUGUACUGAAGGCACCAGACAUGGACAUUAAGCUCAGUGAAAAGAAACAGGUAACUCCAUUGAGUC